CAAACAAAAGGUUUUUGACUAGUAAAAGUAGGCAAAGCCCAGAAUGACAACAAGCAUCUAUACCGGGCGAGACAAUAGAUGGGUAAGAGAGCAAGCCCACAAUUAUCAACACGAAAAAAAUUGAAGCAGUGGCUGCAGUGCACGUGAACAAUCAAGUGCAGAUCCGGCCUAGUAAAGGUGAUAUACUUGAAAUGCCGUUCAUCAGAUUACCUUCUCUCUUCCUGGCAAUUUCACUCAGACACUUGAAAUUUCAUUGAUUGAUAGCGAAGAAGAAGCAACUUCCAUCACUCCAGCAAAUGGUGAACUAUCAAUUUGCUUCUAGUUGAUCUUUUUACAUGUAAAUAACACUUUGUUUGCUUCAACAAGUCAUUUUCACAAACAGUUUGUGCUCCAUUCUGUGAUCUUUUAUUUCUUCUUCUGAUGCUUUGGCUUUUGAAAUUCUCGAGUCAUUGCUAGAAUUACAAGAUUAACAUUAAUGGGUUCUUCGGUUCUAGAUUGUAAAAAACCCGCAUUGCAGAUCCAAUCACUGGAACAAAUCCACUUUAGUGCAUUGCUUUGCGGUAGGUAUGAAAACAUUUCUUACUCAUAGAAAUGACUUAAAUUUGAUAUGGGGACAUUGAGUUUUUUCGGUCUGUUUUUCACUCUUUGCCGGUAUAAGAAUGUGCAAGAUGCUACCACUUGAUCUUUUGCGAUAAAGAUGUUGUGUACCAGCUUAACUCAGGGUGCUUCUUAGGGAAUCUCUCUCUUAUGACAAUGAUGGCUUCUAACUUUCUCACUUCAUUGAAUAAUCCAUGCACGAAAAGCCGAUGAGGCUGAAGGGGUUUUGGAUUAUUUCUUGUGGACUCAUGGUACAUCCUCCCUACAAUUUACAAACUUGCUGUGAAUUCUUUUGUAUUCUCAUUACAGGGGAAGAAAUGUGUGCACUCUUCAAGAAGGUGAGAGAGAGAUGGGAUGCCAGCUGAUGUAUGCACAUCAUGUCUAAAAUUCUGUCUAUGGUAUUAAUAUGACAAUGAGUUUAGAUUGUGAGAUGAAAUGCGAAUGUUUCAAGUCCUGAUCGUAGCUUAUUUGUUUUGUUGGUAUAUUAGUUUUUAUAUGGAAAGUUGGAUGCAGCCUGCAAAUAUUGCGGUUUGGAACAAACAAAGAAUGGCUAUUGCUACAACUGAAGAUAGUUGAGAUGCUCUGGUACUUGCUGUCUACUAAGCAAAUAACUGAUUCAAGAGGUGAUCAAUUGUGUUGCAGUCAGACAGUAAAUCAAACCAGAACCAUCUCUAAGAAAACUGAUAAUGGGAAAGACUUUCUCCUGCAAGCCGACUCUAAAAGAGUUGUGAUAGCCUGAGAGGGAAUGGAUUUUCUUUUUGGAGCGGUUGGUUCUUGUUUAAUUUAUUAAAUCUCAAUCAGCAGUUCUCAACUUACAGCAUCGAAAGCUCUAUGAACUCAUGUACCACUUUUUAACUCACUCAACUAAAUGCCAAUCCCAAGCUAGUUGAGGAUGUCAUUUUCAAGGCUCAAUAAUGGGGCUUCAAUCAACUUCAUUUUCAUUUGAGUGGGAAGUGGCAUUAUUAUGCCAGUCAGUUAUAUCAGUGCUCUUCUUUUGACCAAGGGUUAUCACCAUCAAUAUCAUCGUGAGAGCAUGUUACCAAAUACCAACUGGUUUUAAGAGAGUAGUCUGUUGGAUGCCAAACCACCGUGUAGCUUUAGGAACACCAGACGCUGAACAGAGGACAAAGAGUAGUAACAGGAAGUUAAAAUCUGGCUUCUCGUUUUUGUUUUCUGCGCAAGGACCAAUAGGUAUUGAAAACAAGUUCUCCAUUUCUUUCUCUAAAGCAUUUUUGCGAUAAGGUUAUGGAGAAUAAUCCAUAACCUGCGGAUUCUUGUGAGUUCCAUGUUUGGCCUAACUCAUCAUGUUGUGGCUCAAAUGAGAAACCCGGUCCUUCAACAUUUGACAUGGGGUAGCAACUAGCUGCUAGGUUAGGUGAGCUACACGUUGAUAACGACAAGGGGUCAUAAUCAACUUUGACCAUUUCAUAGUUGGAAAUCAGCUAGCUAUUGCAUGUUCAUACUGCAUGCUUGUCAUGCCUAUUGACCAGUCCAACAUACAUCUGUGCAUCACGAUCUUGCGUUCACAGUCAAGGAGAUAACAACCAAUCACAUGUCAUUCUAGUGCAAAUGUUUUCAAGCUGCAGCGCACCAUGCAUGUUUGGAUGAAAAGAUGUGGAAUCAAAUGCCUAUGAAAUACUUUUCUUAUCAAUAUAAUGAUCAGAUAAGGAUGAUUUUGGCUUUUGAUGGGAGUGGCGAACCAGGGGAGUUUUCGUUUCUGUUUCUACCUUUGAGGUUAAUUGAAAGUCAAGGCACUCAGAAGAGCGUGGGGUGUCCUAUUGACCAUCCAGGAGGAAUACCUUUAAAUUCUCAUCUGAUAUUGGCUUUACCUUUACCUAGGUAUUCUUUGUUCUUCUGUCCAUCUAUAAAGCUCAAAAACUGCGACUGGGACAAAAAUCAUGGGCUACUUGUCAAGGGACGGCGAGAAAAAAUAAUUUUUAUAUUCCAUUUUUGGCACGUGGGUAUGUGAAUUCUAGCUGAACAAGUUACCUAGUAUAUGACUUGUCCAAAAAAAUACAGUUACCUAUUAUAUGGGAAAGGAGAGCGGAACAUUAGAUAAGUGAAAACCCCUGAGACUUUUGCUUUACAUCACACAUGACAUCAUUCGGAGCAUAAAUCUUAUUCCUCAUGGUAAAUGAUCUAGCUGGAAUUGAUUAAGGGUUGAUUUUGAGCGGUUAGGGAAGAAUUCAUUGUAGAUAGGUUAUAUGGAUACCAUAUCAGAUAUGUUUAUGGACAUGUUUAACCAUAAGAGAAGGUCCAGUAGCUCCGAACUAGAAAGAUAAUUUAAAAAUCAUAACUUUUUAUUUGAUCGUUGGAUUAAAUUUAAUUUUUUUACAGGAAUUUCUAGAGGUUGUUUUUUCUAUAAUAGCCCUCAUGUGAAUUGUCAGAUCUUGAGAUAUCAAAAAUCUAACUCUCAGCUGUUUUGGGUCAAUUUUGUUGUUUUUUUAAUUUUAUGUGUUGUUUUGGAAUUCAUGAUUAUUUUGUUUGUAUUUUUGAAUUUUUAUUUUGUUUCCUAGUUGGGAUAGGUUUUAUGGGCUAAUUAAGGUUUUGUAAACCUUGGAAGGAGACGAUCUUUAUCAAUAUUAUUUUCCUCAA
Molecule: long non-coding RNA, 3192 nt
Organism: Populus nigra (black poplar)
Lineage: Eukaryota; Viridiplantae; Streptophyta; Magnoliopsida; Malpighiales; Salicaceae
Exons: 3
Source: RefSeq, a predicted model, not a curated record